UACGUAGGGUGCAAGCGUUAAUCGGAAUUACUGGGCGUAAAGCGUGCGCAGGCGGUUGUGUAAGACAGAUGUGAAAUCCCCGGGCUCAACCUGGGAACUGCAUUUGUGACUGCACAGCUGGAGUGCGGCAGAGGGGGAUGGAAUUCCGCGUGUAGCAGUGAAAUGCGUAGAUAUCGGAAGGAACAUCAGUGGCGAAAGCGGCUUCCUGGUCCAGCACCGACGUUCAGGCACGAAAGCGUGGGGAGCAAACAGG
This 253-nucleotide ribosomal RNA is filed under the name uncultured bacterium. RNAcentral's name for it is "partial 16S ribosomal RNA". It matches the Rfam family "Bacterial small subunit ribosomal RNA", at positions 524 to 776 of the family's 1533-position model. The record is from RNAcentral.